Zophobas morio is the source of this 2379-nucleotide RNA transcript. It is a transcript of the gene named serine protease HTRA2, mitochondrial, with no coding region annotated. The record is from RefSeq and is a predicted model, not a curated record. Lineage: Eukaryota; Metazoa; Arthropoda; Insecta; Coleoptera; Tenebrionidae. The transcript has 4 exons.
GGUUUGCCUAUCUUGCUUUCACCCCUGGUCUUCAAUUAACGUGCUUUUGACAUUUUUAUUUGACAAGUUAUUUUUAGUUACUAAUUUGUCACUAGAUUGCAAUUUUGCAACAUAUUGUACAGGUUUUUCGCAUCUCACCACUGAGUACACUCAUUUUUUCCAAAUCUGACACUGACAGUGCGGGAGUUUUGCGAACGGAUUUAUUUUAAAUUUCGCGCUAAUUUCACCCCACUUGACGUCACACCCGAUGCGUAUGCCUAUACCAUGUUUCCUUCUACCAUGGGUGGUCUUGCAAAAUCAGCCUGUAUGUCGCAUCUAUAUUAAUCUAUGGUAUAACGUUCUUGACGUCGAAUUAUUUUUGUCAGAUUUUAACAUCAAAUUAGUUUACAGCACGGUUUACAAUGCUCAUAUGUUUACUAAGAAGAUAGGUUAUGUUACUUUCUGAGAAUUGCCCUUACGAACAGUUGGUGGUAUUUUUGUCUUCUCGGAAGAGUUGUAUGUAACUUGAGAUGUGUUUAAUGUCAAUGUUAAGAUCAUAAUAUGAAAAUACCAAUUAAGAUGUGCUUCUUACGACAGUUGCAGCAUUACAUAAAAUCAUUUAGUAGAAAGUCGACAACAGCAGUUCUUACAACUUCAUAUAAUGUUGAUGAAAAUUUCUUCAAUUUAAAAUGUCAUUGGAAGUAUGUAUUAAUUUUUGGCAUAGGAUAUGUUACAUAUAAACUUCAUAUUAAGGACAAUUUAAUACCAAGUGUACAAGCUACCUCAAAUCGAAGAAAACAAUAUAAUUUUGUAGCUGAUGUAGUUGAAACUACAGCACCAGCUGUUGUCUACAUUGAGAUUAAAGAUGCUAGAAGAGUAGAUUUUUUUACUGGUAAACCUACAACAAUUUCUAAUGGGUCAGGAUUUAUUAUAAGGGAAGAUGGAUUAAUUUUGACGAACGCCCAUGUAGUAGCAAAUAAGCCUUAUUCAAAGGUGGAAGUAAGAUUACAUAAUGGUGUUACAUAUAGUGGCCAUGUAGAAGAUGUGGAUGUCAAAAGCGAUUUAGCAACUGUUCGAAUCUCGGCGAAGAAGUUACCCAUAAUAAAAUUGGGGAAUUCUUCAGAAUUAAGGCCAGGUGAAUUUGUAGUAGCCAUUGGAAGUCCUCUUGCACUAAGCAAUUCUGUAACUUUUGGAGUUAUUAGUUCAACCAGUCGUGGUUCUGAUGAGUUAGGUUUAAGAGGUAAAGAUAUUGUGUAUCUUCAGACAGAUGCUGCUAUUACUUUUGGUAACUCUGGGGGACCAUUAGUUAAUCUAGAUGGAGAUGCAAUUGGUAUUAAUAGUAUGAAGGUUACAGCAGGAAUUUCUUUUGCAAUUCCAAGUGAUUAUGUUAAGGAAUUUUUAAAGAAUGCUGAAGGGGUGAAAAAAACUGGAGCAGGUGGACUCGCUCGAAAAUAUAUGGGAAUUACAAUGCUUACGUUAACACCUCAGAUUUUACACGAGUUGCGUGAAAGAAGUCAGUAUGUACCACCUGAUGUCAAACAUGGCGUUUUGAUAUGGAAAGUGAUUCUAGGCUCCCCAGCACACAGGAGUAACCGUUUGGAAGAGAUUUACAUAUACAAGGUGAUUGCGAAAUACAUGAAAAAAAAAAAGGGGGAAUAGCUCACAAUAUGAUUAUGUCACUGGGUAAAAUUCACGGUUCUAAGUGGUAGCAGUGACUUUAUCAGGCACUUUUAAUCACAACGUGAAAAACACGAAAAGGGCCAGUCAGCAUCGAGCGGUCGGUGAAAUCGGUUUAUGGUGAGGUUUCCCCAUGCAGAGGGUGUCGAUAUGGUAAUUGGUGUGGGCGAACAUGUGCAUGAGUGGUACAUUAUCUCCGAGAUCAUGAUGAUACCUUCAACCUCAAACUCACGACCGUGGCCGUGAUAGGACAGAAAGAAGAAGUUGGAUUUUCACAGCUUGUAGUGCAUCCUACAUUAAAAGAACACGGCCACAUCCAUACCAUGUUGACAAAGUACAGGGUUUGGAGCCCGCUGAUUGUCCACGUUGUGUAACUCACUUUUUGUCCGAUGAAACUCCACAUGCUCGUCAACAAGUACGAUUUCAAGAGACGGUUUUCGAUAUGUGUAUCGGUUGGAUGAAACAGUUAGUUUGUGGAAAUCAACAGUGUCCAGAAAUUAUCGAAGAGCCUCAACAACAAGUGAAAAUGGCAGCCGCUACUUCGGUGUUUUUUUUAGCUAUCAACAAACAUCUUGCGACGCUCUGACGCCUGUAUGGCUAGUCAAGGACAACAUUUUCAACAUUUCUUGUAAAAAGCGGAGGUUUACAGCCGGGAGAUAUUGUGACUCAUAUUAACGGUGAUGAAGUUACUGGGGCUAACGACGUCUACACCAUCCUUACAGA